GUAGCGCAAACUUCAUCCAAAUUCCCCCUUUGCGGUUAAUUAUGACGUUAAGGAAAUUUCAAAUAAGUUAAUAUAUAGUAUAAUUAUUCCGAUGGCGUGUCAUUGUGUAACAUUGCAGUGGUGUGGACAGGACAACAAUAGAACAAAAUGGCUAAACUCUGUAUCUUUUUGGCAGUAGCCGUGUCUGCUAUCGUAAUAGUCCACGGGGAGAAUGUGGUCGCAAAAAAUACCCCAGUGGGAGAUCAACAUCCGCUAUCUCCGACUAAAUCAAAUUGCACUGCUGCUCAAAAGCAACACAUUAUC
This is a long non-coding RNA of Pectinophora gossypiella (pink bollworm), 303 nucleotides long. RefSeq lists it as uncharacterized. The record is from RefSeq and is a predicted model, not a curated record. Lineage: Eukaryota; Metazoa; Arthropoda; Insecta; Lepidoptera; Gelechiidae. The transcript is spliced from 2 exons.